CUUAAAUUGAAGAGUUUGAUCAUGGCUCAGAUUGAACGCUGGCGGCAGGCCUAACACAUGCAAGUCGAGCGGUAGCACAGAGAGCUUGCUCUCGGGUGACGAGCGGCGGACGGGUGAGUAAUGUCUGGGAAACUGCCUGAUGGAGGGGGAUAACUACUGGAAACGGUAGCUAAUACCGCAUAACGUCGCAAGACCAAAGUGGGGGACCUUCGGGCCUCAUGCCAUCAGAUGUGCCCAGAUGGGAUUAGCUAGUAGGUGGGGUAACGGCUCACCUAGGCGACGAUCCCUAGCUGGUCUGAGAGGAUGACCAGCCACACUGGAACUGAGACACGGUCCAGACUCCUACGGGAGGCAGCAGUGGGGAAUAUUGCACAAUGGGCGCAAGCCUGAUGCAGCCAUGCCGCGUGUGUGAAGAAGGCCUUCGGGUUGUAAAGCACUUUCAGCGGGGAGGAAGGCGAUAAGGUUAAUAACCUUGUCGAUUGACGUUACCCGCAGAAGAAGCACCGGCUAACUCCGUGCCAGCAGCCGCGGUAAUACGGAGGGUGCAAGCGUUAAUCGGAAUUACUGGGCGUAAAGCGCACGCAGGCGGUCUGUCAAGUCGGAUGUGAAAUCCCCGGGCUCAACCUGGGAACUGCAUUCGAAACUGGCAGGCUAGAGUCUUGUAGAGGGGGGUAGAAUUCCAGGUGUAGCGGUGAAAUGCGUAGAGAUCUGGAGGAAUACCGGUGGCGAAGGCGGCCCCCUGGACAAAGACUGACGCUCAGGUGCGAAAGCGUGGGGAGCAAACAGGAUUAGAUACCCUGGUAGUCCACGCUGUAAACGAUGUCGAUUUGGAGGUUGUGCCCUUGAGGCGUGGCUUCCGGAGCUAACGCGUUAAAUCGACCGCCUGGGGAGUACGGCCGCAAGGUUAAAACUCAAAUGAAUUGACGGGGGCCCGCACAAGCGGUGGAGCAUGUGGUUUAAUUCGAUGCAACGCGAAGAACCUUACCUGGUCUUGACAUCCACAGAACUUAGCAGAGAUGCUUUGGUGCCUUCGGGAACUGUGAGACAGGUGCUGCAUGGCUGUCGUCAGCUCGUGUUGUGAAAUGUUGGGUUAAGUCCCGCAACGAGCGCAACCCUUAUCCUUUGUUGCCAGCGGUUAGGCCGGGAACUCAAAGGAGACUGCCAGUGAUAAACUGGAGGAAGGUGGGGAUGACGUCAAGUCAUCAUGGCCCUUACGACCAGGGCUACACACGUGCUACAAUGGCAUAUACAAAGAGAAGCGACCUCGCGAGAGCAAGCGGACCUCAUAAAGUAUGUCGUAGUCCGGAUUGGAGUCUGCAACUCGACUCCAUGAAGUCGGAAUCGCUAGUAAUCGUAGAUCAGAAUGCUACGGUGAAUACGUUCCCGGGCCUUGUACACACCGCCCGUCACACCAUGGGAGUGGGUUGCAAAAGAAGUAGGUAGCUUAACCUUCGGGAGGGCGCUUACCACUUUGUGAUUCAUGACUGGGGUGAAGUCGUAACAAGGUAACCGUAGGGGAACCUGCGGUUGGAUCACCUCCUUA
Molecule: ribosomal RNA, 1543 nt
Filed under: Klebsiella pneumoniae
Lineage: Bacteria; Pseudomonadati; Pseudomonadota; Gammaproteobacteria; Enterobacterales; Enterobacteriaceae
Description: bacterial SSU rRNA
Rfam family: Bacterial small subunit ribosomal RNA
Source: RNAcentral